RNAcentral lists this long non-coding RNA (1089 nucleotides) under Nicotiana tabacum (common tobacco). RNAcentral's name for it is "long non-coding RNA (NTAB_LNC008211)". Lineage: Eukaryota; Viridiplantae; Streptophyta; Magnoliopsida; Solanales; Solanaceae. The record is from RNAcentral.
CAAAUGGAGCAUGCCAACUCUCGCUGAUCAGGGAUCCUAAGAAGAGGGACCAUCAGCUUCCCUACCUGCACCUGCGGGCAUGAAACACAUGCCCCGUGAAAUAGGCAUCAAUACGGAAAAUGUACUGAGUAUGUAAGGCAUGAAAAUUAGUACGGAAAAGACACUGGAAUAAAGAAACACAUCUUUAAAUCUGAAUAAAUUUGUAAAUCCUGAAACGUUUAUAAUGUCAUGCACACGUAUAUAAAUGUCGUGUCAUGCAUAGGUAUGAGUGUACAUAAUAUCAUCAAGCCACUAAGGGCAUCCCAUCAUAUCAUCUCGGCCACUGUGGGCAACAUCAUCAAUAUAUAGCAGUUGAUCAAGUGGUGAUGCGUAUAUAACGCCGUAACCUUUUCCCAUAUCCCAUAUACAUGUAUUUACAUAUAUACGCGUAUAUAACGCCAUCAGGUCAUGAGUCAAUGCACAUGUAUGAAAUGCAUGAAAAAUACGUAAUAAUCUUAAUAUUCCUUCCGGAUAAAUUUUUUUCCAUCUGCGUAUUAUUCUGAGACCCAUGAAUAGAAAAUAAUAAUAAUUUUCAUGGGAAUCAAGAAUAUAGACACCGCUAAUAAUUCUAUGAAUAGAGUAAUUUAUGGAAACUAUGUGUUUGCUCGUUUCUUCAGUAUAAUUUGGACCAUGCCAAAAGAAAGAAGGGAGAGCCUUAACAUACCUGUUUCUGGAAUUAUUUGAACGAAUCUACUUCUGCGAAAUUUAUACUGGAUUUUUUUGAAAUUGGAACGAACUUGUUAUGCUUGAGUGUUUGUUUGCACUAGAGAACUUGUUAUGCUUGAGUGUUUGUUUGCACUAGAGAAUGGAUUUAAAUUUUAAGCUUGAUCCAAUGUUUUUUUGAAGCUUCUGUUUCCAACGUUUUUGAUUCAAAUCAAGGAAUGAAUUGAAGCUUGGUUAAAGAUUCUGUUUCUCGUUUUUUCUACUUUCAGAAAGGAUCCAAUGGAUCUUAAAUGUUAUAUCAAGUUCAAGACUUAUCUUAAGUCAAUCAAAUCUUACUAAAUGACUCAUUCAACUUUACACGUUACUUUGUCAUGCAACACAUAUGAC